UUGACAUCCACGGAAGUUUUCAGAGAUGAGAAUGUGCCUUCGGGAACCGUGAGACAGGUGCUGCAUGGCUGUCGUCAGCUCGUGUUGUGAAAUGUUGGGUUAAGUCCCGCAACGAGCGCAACCCUUAUCCUUUGUUGCCAGCGGUCCGGCCGGGAACUCAAAGGAGACUGCCAGUGAUAAACUGGAGGAAGGUGGGGAUGACGUCAAGUCAUCAUGGCCCUUACGACCAGGGCUACACACGUGCUACAAUGGCGCAUACAAAGAGAAGCGACCUCGCGAGAGCAAGCGGACCUCAUAAAGUGCGUCGUAGUCCGGAUUGGAGUCUGCAACUCGACUCCAUGAAGUCGGAAUCGCUAGUAAUCGUGGAUCAGAAUGCCACGGUGAAUACGUUCCCGGGCCUUGUACACACCGCCCGUCACACCAUGGGAGUGGGUUGCAAAAGAAGUAGGUAGCUUAACCUUCGGGAGGGCGCUUACCACUUUGUGAUUCAUGACUGGGGUGAAGUCGUAACAAGGUAACCGUAGGGGAACCUGCGGUUGGAUCAC
RNAcentral lists this ribosomal RNA (545 nucleotides) under Escherichia coli. RNAcentral's name for it is "bacterial SSU rRNA". It matches the Rfam family "Bacterial small subunit ribosomal RNA", at positions 981 to 1526 of the family's 1533-position model. Lineage: Bacteria; Pseudomonadati; Pseudomonadota; Gammaproteobacteria; Enterobacterales; Enterobacteriaceae. The record is from RNAcentral. RNAcentral also lists the same sequence under 1 other name.